RNAcentral lists this transfer RNA (84 nucleotides) under Fibrobacter sp. Its description in RNAcentral is "tRNA-Leu". It matches the Rfam family "tRNA". From Rfam's summary of the family: Transfer RNA (tRNA) molecules are approximately 80 nucleotides in length. Their secondary structure includes four short double-helical elements and three loops (D, anti-codon, and T loops). Lineage: Bacteria; Pseudomonadati; Fibrobacterota; Fibrobacteria; Fibrobacterales; Fibrobacteraceae. RNAcentral also lists the same sequence under 1 other name. The record is from RNAcentral.
GCGGAAGUGGUGGAACUGGUAGACGCGCUAGGUUCAGGACCUAGUGGGUGCAAGCCUGUGGGGGUUCGAGUCCCCCCUUCCGCA